GUCGAACGAUGAAACUUAAAAGAUUUCUUCGGAAUGACCUUAAGUGGAUUAGUGGCGAACGGGUGAGUAACGCGUGAGUAACCUGCCUUACACAAGGGGAUAGCCUCUGGAAACGGAGAAUAAUACCCUAUGACAUUACAAUCUCGCAUGAGGAAGUAAUCAAAGUGUUUUAGCGGUGUAAGAUGGACUUGCGUCUGAUUAGCUAGUUGGUGAGAUAACAGCCCACCAAGGCAACGAUCAGUAGCCGGCUUGAGAGAGUGUACGGCCACAUUGGGACUGAGACACGGCCCAGACUCCUACGGGAGGCAGCAGUGGGGAAUUUUGCACAAUGGGGGCAACCCUGAUGCAGCGACGCCGCGUGAUUUAGAAGGCCUUCGGGUUGUAAAAAUCUUUUGUAUAGGAAGAAAAUGACAGUACUAUACGAAUAAGGUCCGGCUAAUUACGUGCCAGCAGCCGCGGUAAUACGUAAGGACCGAGCGUUGUCCGGAAUCAUUGGGCGUAAAGGGUACGUAGGCGGUUAGAAAAGUUAGAAGUGAAAGGCUAUAGCUCAACUAUAGUAAGCUUUUAAAACUGUUUAACUUGAGAGAUGGAAGGGAAAGUGGAAUUCCUAGUGUAGCGGUGAAAUGCGCGGAUAUUAGGAGGAAUACCGGUGGCGAAGGCGACUUUCUGGCCAUUAU
This 677-nucleotide ribosomal RNA is filed under the name uncultured Eubacteriales bacterium. Its description in RNAcentral is "bacterial SSU rRNA". It matches the Rfam family "Bacterial small subunit ribosomal RNA", at positions 61 to 739 of the family's 1533-position model. The record is from RNAcentral. Lineage: Bacteria; Bacillati; Bacillota; Clostridia; Eubacteriales.